GACGAACGCUGGCGGCGUGCCUAAUACAUGCAAGUAGGACGCACAGUCUAUACCGUAGCUUGCUACACCAUAGGCUGUGAGUGGCGAACGGGUGAGUAACGCGUAGGUAACCUGCCUAUUAGAGGGGGAUAACUAUUGGAAACGAUAGCUAAUACCGCAUAAUAGUAUGUAACACAUGUUAGAUGCUUGAAAGAUGCAAUUGCAUCGCUAGUAGAUGGACCUGCGUUGUAUUAGCUAGUAGGUAGGGUAAAGGCCUACCUAGGCAACGAUACAUAGCCGACCUGAGAGGGUGAUCGGCCACACUGGGACUGAGACACGGCCCAGACUCCUACGGGAGGCAGCAGUAGGGAAUCUUCGGCAAUGGGGGGAACCCUGACCGAGCAACGCCGCGUGAGUGAAGAAGGUUUUCGGGUCGUAAAGCUCUGUUGUUAAGGAAGAAUGAGUGUGAGAAUGGAAAGUUCAUACUGUGACGGUACUUAACCAGAAAGGGACGGCUAACUACGUGC
RNAcentral lists this ribosomal RNA (506 nucleotides) under uncultured Streptococcus sp. Its description in RNAcentral is "bacterial SSU rRNA". It matches the Rfam family "Bacterial small subunit ribosomal RNA", at positions 28 to 508 of the family's 1533-position model. Lineage: Bacteria; Bacillati; Bacillota; Bacilli; Lactobacillales; Streptococcaceae. The record is from RNAcentral.